UGCAUAAGAAUAAUCAUAUGGGCCCAUAACGACAUUAGCCGACAUAUGUCAAUUUACAUGACUAAUACUACCUUAAUAACAAGCCAAUUCCUUUGGCUAAAUCAUAAUAUUACAUACUCACAUUAAAACCCUAUACAUGCCAUAGAUUAGAAUCACUUGAGUUUACUUACGCCGAUAGAGUUAACUCGACAUGUGAUAAUAUCUCUGACGGCCUCCAACCCGAGCUAACCUGGAAACUCUAGAAAACAUGGGAAAGAAGGGGGGUAAGCUUUCGCUUAGUAAGUUCAUAUGAAAACAAUAAGCAACUCAUUAACUUGUUUUAUCAAUGUUUACAACAAAUUCUCAAGUUCACUACAAGCUGUCUUCUUGAGCAACGGUCACUAAAUUAUUUAUAUCUGGAGCUACGAAACUCCGAAUUAAGUUCCGUUAAUUUUCCCUGAAACUAGACUUAUUUUAAUUUCUUUCAUAAAAUUUCAAGAAUUUUUGGUUAAUCCAAAUAGUACAGUUUAUUAGUUAAAAUCUCCCCUAUUUCAGGGUAUGACCACUCUGACCCCUGUGCACUACAAACCGAAUUUCUCCUUGUAAAAAAUUCCAACAACCAUGUAGUUUAUUUUUCCUAAAAAUAGACUCAAUAAGGAAUCCAUGAAUGUAAGGUAUGACUCUUAAUAAUGUUUGUACAAUUUUUGGUGAAUUUCUAAAGUUAGAACAGGGGAUCUCGAAUUCAUUCAGACCCUGUUUCACAAGAAUUCAAAUAUCACACAAUAUGGAAUUCUUUUUCUUCCCCUAUUUCUUUCAUGUGAAAAUAGACUCAUUAAGCUUUAAUCCCAUAUUUUAUUCUGCCUCUAACUUAUUUUCCACUAUUUUUAGUGUAUUUUCAAAGUUACACUACUGCAGUAACUCAAAUCUGUCAAGGCUAAAUUACUCAUUCAUGAUCAUUGUUCACAAAAUUAAUACAACAUCGUUUGUAUAAUCAUCACCGAGACAUUCAUAUCACAUUUUCAUUUACCAUCUUACCAUAUUGUUGUUAUGUCGAGUUUUCAACCCGAGGGUUAAGUACAUACCUGUUCAAAGUAUUCAUUUUACAACAUUUACCAAUACGUCCCUUUCAUCUCGAGUAUUCCUCCAUUUGAGUAGAAUUUUACCCGUUGAACACAUCGGAAUAUAAUUCGGAUACAUGGAAAGUUUGCACAUAAGUGCCACAUAUGUAGCCAAGCUACCAUGUAACCCGCCCAUAAGUGAACUCGGACUCAACUCAACGAGCUCGGGCGUUCGCAUCCAUAAGUGAACUCGGACUCAACUCAACGAGCUCGGAUGCCUAGUUACAUCUCACGAACUCGGACUCAACUCAACGAGUUCGAACAUUCGCAUCCAUAAGUGAACUCGGACUCAACUCAACAAGUUCAGAUGCUCAACCAUCCUAGUGACAUGUCACUUGUAUCCUAAUCUAUUCCUAAGGUUCAAACGAGAUUUUCCUCGAACACAUAUCCUUGCCAUCUUCCGUAAAAUACCGAAACCAAUACUCGGUAGCACUUUAUAUUUAACAGAUAAUACACAUAACUUUCAUUUUAUUCGAAAAUAACCACAAAGCAUAUAUUUCAUGAUAAAAAUCAGCAUAUCAUAUAUUUAAUAUCAAUAACUUAAAAAUAACAAUUAUGCUACAUUAUUUACACAUGAACUUACCUCGAUACCACAAAGGUGAAAAGACAUACUCGUUCAUAAAUCGAUUUCUUUCCGUUCUAGGUCCAAAUCUCAAUUUUCAUCAUCUAUAACAUCACAUUUAGCCUACCAAUCAGUCACAAUAUUCAUAUGGGUCUAAAAAUCAUAUUUUUACAAAUUUUCAUUUUGACCCCUAAACUUUUGCAUAUUUGCACUUUUGCCCCAAUGCUUGUAAAUUAAUUUUUAUUCAAUUUCUAUAAGGUUUAAGACAUGCUGAACAUUUUUCUCUUCUAUGGCAACUCCAAAUUUUCACUAAUUCACACACUUAUGACCAAUUUAUAACUUUUACAAUUUAACCCCUUUUUGACAUUUUUACCGAAAUUCAUUGAAUAAAACUCAUAUUUAACACAUCAAACAUUCAUUAUCCACUAUAAAUCAUCAAAACACAACCAUAUCAUGAAUGGGUAAAAUUUUAAACUCUAAUUUCUUUUCAAUCAAUUGGUAGAAAUAGAAAAUUUAAGCUUCGGGGAUCUCAAAAAUACGAAAAUCAUUAAAAACGAGACAAAAACCGUACCUACAUAAGCCAUAGAAGCUUGGCCGAAUGGAGCUCAUCCAUGGCUGCCAUUUUCAGUUCUUUCCCACGGUUGAAGAAGAAAGAAUGGAAAAAAAAUGAUAGCUUUUAUCAUUUUUGUCUUAUUAGGUUAUUUUAAUUAAUUUACAAAAUUACCCUUUUUAUUUCAACCAAAUAUCAAAAAUACCAAACAAAUAUCCAUUCACUAACUUAUUAAAGGAAUAAUUAUCACAUAAGGACUUUCAAUUUAAAACUCAUAACAAUUAGGCACCUCAUAUAUAAAGAACUCAACUUUUGCACUUUUUACAAUUUAGUCCUUUUGACUAAAUUGAGUGCUCAAACGUAAAAAUUUUCGAAUGAAAUUUUUACGAAAUAUUUUCAUAAAUUUAUAGACUAUAAAAAUAUAAUAAAAAUAAAUUUUUUUUUCUCGUCGGAUUUGUGGUCCCGAAACCACUGUUCUGACUAGACCCAAAAUCGGGCUGUUACAUUUCUUCCCCCUUUAGGGAUUUUCGUCCCCGAAAAUCUUACCAGAAAAAAUUGUUCUCUACUUUCACGAGUCACUUAUAUCUUUUUCUCACAACUUACAAAACAACUCCGCACAAGCUCAUACUCAAGAUUUCCUAUAGCUUUUCCAUAGUUGAGGUAUAAACCUCGGAGCUCAAUUUGAAACACUGGAGACUGACAUUCUUGGAACUAUAAACUCAGAAACAUACAACUCAGUCACAUCUGUUGAAUAAUAUAUCUGUACAUACUAAAAUAAUCAUGCAGAUUUCCAUCAUCAAUCUUUCACAAUUCAACUUGCAUCUCUCCUUUUUCCUGGAAAUGAGAGACAUCCCGAUACGAAAUUCAUAACAGUCCUUUCUCAUUUUCUUCCCACUGUCAUCACUGACAAUAAUAAUCUCGAAUACAUUUGAUAUUCGGCUUUACCCUAUAGACAAUUCGACAUCCUUUGAACGAAUAAACAAGAUACUACUGUGAACUCUGUACUCAAUUCUCUGUAUACCCAGAGUUUCUCAGUACUGAAAUCUUACUCUGAAUUAAUAGUAAUAGAAACCAGAAAUCAAAUCCUCCCUGCAAUUCCAAAUUAAAAUUCGAAUCAUGCUGUACUUGUUUAAUUUACCACUUAUAGCCACAUUUCUAUACUCUGAUCAUCAACUGUUUAGAAACUUUACUAACAUGAAUAAAAUGAUUCCAACUUCAUAGAUGUGGUCUUUUUAUUAAUCAGGAUAACUAUACUUAUAACAUCUCUCGAACAAGAGAAAUCCAACUAAUAUGUUUCCAUAACAUACUUUCAAGAAUAAAACCCAUCAUUUCUGACUGUACGACUACUUACCAAAGAACACGUUACAGUAUUCUCGAACCAGAGAAUAAACUUAAAUGCACAUAACUCAGAUUUACUUUUGCAGAAUAACUAUUCUUUACCCCAGAAAUUUUAAAGAAAUCUCGACACUGAAAUCCCCACACUUCUAUGGUCGAUCCAGAAGCUUAAUCAUAACAGAUUCUAAUAUCGCAAGUCAAAGAUUACUCGUAAAGAUAAACCAAGCUUGAUAAUUCUCGAAACAAGAACGAUAGAAGAGCCAAUAUAAGAAAUUCCAAGAUAUAAAGACUAUACCAGAAAUCCGAGAAUAUAAUCCAGAAGAAAAUAAUAAAGAUGAUCCGAAAAAUCCCUCAGAGAAAACCAGAAGGAAACUACUGUCUAUACGCUCUAGAAUUUCUCGUAACAGAGAUAAUAUAAUUCUCGCAUAUAUAAACCAUAAUCAAUAGAACAUCAGAAUAAUCUCACAAAGAUUUUUUUUUUUUACUAUCAACUUCAUUCCAAUAUAUCAGAAUAGAAAUCUGAAGAGAUGAGGAAAAUGUCAAUCAUAACUAACUGGACCAAUAGAGCUUUUCAUCUAAUAUCACAGUCACUAGCAUCCUCGUAUGAUAGAAUGAAUCCAUUGAAAGGGAUAACCAUACGUAUUCCCCGGAAUUGAGGAAAACAUAGAAUACUCAGAAGAGAAAGAUAGCCAUCACUUUUAUUUGAUUGAAUCCGUUAUACUCAGACAUCUGUGUGAGUUUGAUGUUAUUCCUCUAACUAAUUCUGUCAUCGCUAAUCUCAUACUAUUCCAUUAUUGUACUAUUCAGUUUCACUUUUGCAAGCUUAUGCAACAUAUCUCUCGAGAAUCUCAUGUAUAACUCUAUUCUGGUAAGAGGGCGAAGAUUGUAAAGCCUCUAAACUUUUGACUCUCAAGCAAAUAUAUAUUCAACAACAACAUAGCUUUACGCAUAUUGAUUCAAACAUUUCAAAUUUCCAACUUGUUAUAAACACAUUUUCACUUAUCUCAGUAAUACAUGCAACUUUAUUUCAUGCGAAUAUUAGCUAAACAUAAGUGAAUUUAUCAUAACUCAAACUUUCAUUUCUUUUUCUCAAAUUACCCUUAAUGUCUUAUCAAGUUUCCACAUUUAGUCUUAAUCACUUUCCAAUAUUUAUCAAAUUGAAGAACGUCUUACGGUUUUGAGUACAUCGUUUACUUGAUGCCAUAAUUCAACUAUGGUCUUGUACUAGCUCUCAUCCAUCUAUGUCGAUGUUGUGUCCCAGACAGGUCUUACACUGACACAUGUAACCGUGCUGACGCAUGUCCCAGACAUGUCUUACACUAGCACAUCUCGUAGCCGAUGCAUGUCCCAGACAUGUCUGACAUUGGCUAUCAUCUCGAGGCCGAUGCAUAUCCCAUACAUGGUUUUACACUGGCACACAAAUCUCAUGUAUUGCCAUGGUCCAACCAUGGUCUUUUCCGUGAAUUCAUUAGUGAACGAUCGUACUCAUUCCCUGCGUUCCACCCAAUUUGAUCUUUCAUUACAACUUUCAUGCUAUUGUGACAUUUAGGAUUCUGUAACUGAGAUUAUAAAGCAUAACAUUACUGCAUCUUGACUUCAUCAAUCUAGACAUAAAUGUCAACCUCUUGUAUAUAUUGAUUAUUAAUCAUGCAAUAAAAGCAUUCAUACAUACAUUCUGUCAUUUCAAGCAAAUUUCUUUCUUUUCCUAAACACUUGGCCAAAUCAAGUUGGACAUUUAACAUCGUAUGAAUACUAACAUGCAUAAAAGCGUUUUUUCACAACUUAACUGUGUUUUACUCCACUAUUUCACAUUCUUUAUCUCAAGAGUAUCACAUAAUGAAAACUAGUUCAUAUAAAAAAAAUCAUGGAUUUCUUUUCAUACCUUUCCAAAUUUUCAGCAUAUCAUAAGCAUGAUUCAAUAAUCUCAACUUUACUCUUAUCUCUAUCAAGAUUUGCUCGGUUGGAACUCAUUCUUGUCUUAAUCAACAGUUUUGUUAGGGCCGAGAGAUAUCACACUAUCACGAGUAAUACUAUGGCAUGUAUAACUAGACUCUCUUACGCUAGGUUAGUCUGAGAACCGACUAAACCAUGCUCUGAUACCACUAAAUGUAACACCCCUCGCCCGCAUCCGACGCCGGGAUGGGGUUCGAGGUGCUACUUGACUUUUUCUAACACUUCCAUACUAAACAGGGCCAUGAAAUCUCAAAUAAUUAAAAACUUUUAUUUUCACAUAUAAUUUGUCCCAUAUACGGGCUUACGAGGCCCAAAACAUACAUCCGGAGUGGUUCGGGACCCAACCGAGAACUCAUGAAAAACUUAGGAAAUCUCUUGUAUCAAGGCUCCACACGCCAGUUAGGUAUAGAACACACGCCCGGGUGCUAGGAACACGCCCGUGUCCCGAACCCAUGUCCAAAACCUGGACAAAUACAAGGCUAUUUUCCAAGCCAUUUUGUCACACUUACAACACAUGCACGCAUACUUAUACAAUAGCAUACAACAUGGAAAAAUUAGGCACUUAAACCUUCCUAACAUAACAUGACCAUGGUAAUUUCACAUGCAACCAUUACAAUAAGUUUUUCUUUCAUCUUUACCAUAUUAAUGCUAUAGCUAUCAACAUGUCAUCAAUGAAUCUCAAUUCAAUCUCUAGGCAUAUAUGUUGUAAGCCACAUCAUAAGAGAUAAUAACAUACAUGCAUAAGAAUAAUCAUAUGGGCCCAUAACGACAUUAGCCGACAUAUGUCAAUUUACAUGACUAAUACUACCUUAAUAACAAGCCAAUUCCUUUGGCUAAAUCAUAAUAUUACAUACUCACAUUAAAACCCUAUACAUGCCAUAGAUUAGAAUCACUUGAGUUUACUUACGCCGAUAGCGUUAACUCGACAUGUGAUAAUAUCUCUGACGGCCUCCAACCCGAGCUAACCUGGAAACU
This 6472-nucleotide long non-coding RNA is filed under the name Gossypium barbadense (sea-island cotton). Its description in RNAcentral is "long non-coding RNA (GBAR_LNC012373)". The record is from RNAcentral. Lineage: Eukaryota; Viridiplantae; Streptophyta; Magnoliopsida; Malvales; Malvaceae.